GGAGCUGGCGCCCUACAGGAAGUUAAAGGUCAAUGGGCUUAGGGGCGCAGGCUUGGGGGACGGGGAGACCGGGGGAACUGGGGAGGGCCGAGGCGGGAGAAGAAGGAAGCGCUGCUGCCGAACCCUCUCACGAGACGAAGGGGAGAAAAACAAAAUAGAGAGAAACCUGUUGGAGACCAGCCUGGCCAACAUGGCAAAACCCCGACUCUACUAAAAAUACAAAAAUUCACCAGACGAGGUGGUACACGCCUAUGAUCCCAGGGCUGGUGAAUUACCAGAUCUCCUCAAGUGCAGCAACCAGAUCCAGUUGGAAGUGCAUCUUUUGGAGGCAGAAAACAAAGCCAUGGCCACUGGGGCCUUUACUCAGGGCCAGCUGAAGGCAGCUUUUCAACAAUGUGUCUGUGCAUCAACACAUGUGGGUGAUGGAGGAACUGGUGUGCAGGGACAAGAACCACCCCGCCGUGGUGAUGUGGUCUGUGGCCAACAAGCCUGCAUCCUACCUGGAACCUGCCGGCUACUACUUCAGGGUCCACCUCUGAUGUUCACUGAAGAGUACCAGAAGAGUCUGCCAGAGCAGUACCAUCUGGGUCUGGAUCAAAAACGCAGAAAAUACGUGGUUGGAGAGCUUAUCGGGAAUUCUGCCGAUUUCACGACUAUGCAGUGGUUUGCUAAGCCUAGAUAGCCUCAGACUCAGCCUGGAAGAGGACAGAGGAGCCCUUCUGAAGGAGGUGCUGGGGCUGAUGGUGAUGAUCUGAAGCAUGCUCAGGAGAGAGGUGGUGCAGAUCAAGAGGCCCCUCAUUACCUUGUAUAUGUAGAACACAGCCUUACAUCUGAAGUUAUUCUGAAAAUUCUGUGACUCAAACACGUCUAGAGACAAUAACUCUGCUGCCAUGACUAGCAUCACUAUGUAGACAGAAACCAAGUGACAGAUGAUCAGGUCAUGGUUUUUUAGGCUUGUGAUCCUUAAAGAAUGUAAAAAUGUGCCAGAGAAGAAGAAAGAUGUUGGCUGAGAUUCCAAUGCCAGCUUGAAAACAAAAGGCCUUUUGAAAGAUAACAUGUGAAAUGUGUGUUCAUCCUAAUGACAUAGAAGAAACAUUUUGAAGACCUGAAAAAAGUAGAUCUGUGUCAUCAAUGUCCUUUUGUCAGUGUUCAAAAUUAUUACCAUUAUUAUUUUUAUUUUACUCUCAUUUCUUGAUUAACCCCAUCUUAUAUAAAUUCUUGAUAAUGUAUCUCCUAUACUAUUUCCUAAACCAAAUAAAUAUAUACAUAUAUAAUUAU
Long non-coding RNA from Homo sapiens (human), 1278 nucleotides. The record is from Ensembl. NCBI's taxonomy places the organism in Eukaryota, Metazoa, Chordata, Mammalia, Primates, Hominidae.